AUUGAACGCUGGCGGCAUGCUUUACACAUGCCAGUCGAACGGUAACAGGCCGCGAGUUGCUGACGAGUGGCGAACGGGUGCGUAAUGCACCGGAACGUGCCCAGCCGCUGGGGAUAAAGCAGCGAAAGCUGUGCUACCACCGCAUACGAUAUAUGGGUGAAAGCGGGCGACCGUCAGGCCUCUCGCGAUUGGAGCGGCCGAUGACGGAUUAGGUAGUUGGUGGGGUAAAGGCUCACCAAGCCGACGAUCUGUAGCUGGUCUGAGAGGACGACCAGCCACACUGGGACUGAGACACGGCCCAGACUCCUACGGGAGGCAGCAGUGGGGAAUUUUGGACAAUGGGCGCAAGCCUGAUCCAGCAAUGCCGCGUGCAGGAAGAAGGCCUUCGGGUUGUAAACUGCUUUUGUACGGAACGAAAAGGCUCUGGUUAAUACCUGGGCUCAUGACGGUACCGUAAGAAUAAGCACCGGCUAACUACGUGCCAGCCGCCGCGGUAA
RNAcentral lists this ribosomal RNA (497 nucleotides) under uncultured bacterium. RNAcentral's name for it is "partial 16S ribosomal RNA". It matches the Rfam family "Bacterial small subunit ribosomal RNA", at positions 30 to 523 of the family's 1533-position model. The record is from RNAcentral.